CCCUUAGAUGUUCUGGGCCGCACGCGCGCUACACUGUUCGACGCAGCGAGUCUUAACCUUGACCGAAAGGUUUGGGUAAUCUUCAGCAAAGUCGAACGUGAUGGGGAUCGAUCAUUGCAAUUAUUGAUCGUGAACGAGGAAUUCCUAGUAAGUGCAAGUCAUCAGCUUGCGCUGAUUACGUCCCUGCCCUUUGUACACACCGCCCGUCGCUACUACCGAUCGAAUGGUUUAGUGAGAUCUCUGGAUUGACGCUGGCUAGGGGGCGACCCUUGGCCAGACUGUUGAGAAACUGCUCAAACUUGAUCAUUUAGAGGAAGUAAAAGUCGUAACA
This 331-nucleotide ribosomal RNA is filed under the name uncultured eukaryote. RNAcentral's name for it is "partial 18S ribosomal RNA". It matches the Rfam family "Eukaryotic small subunit ribosomal RNA", at positions 1470 to 1796 of the family's 1831-position model. The record is from RNAcentral.